Molecule: ribosomal RNA, 492 nt
Filed under: uncultured bacterium
Lineage: Bacteria
Description: partial 16S ribosomal RNA
Rfam family: Bacterial small subunit ribosomal RNA
Source: RNAcentral
AGUGAACGCUGGCGGUAGGCCUAACACAUGCAAGUCGAACGGCAGCACAGUAAGAGCUUGCUCUUACGGGUGGCGAGUGGCGGACGGGUGAGGAAUACAUCGGAAUCUACUUUUUCGUGGGGGAUAACGUAGGGAAACUUACGCUAAUACCGCAUACGACCUACGGGUGAAAGCAGGGGAUCUUCGGACCUUGCGCGAUUGAAUGAGCCGAUGUCGGAUUGGCUAGUUGGCGGGGUAAAGGCCCACCAAGGCGACGAUCCGUAGCUGGUCUGAGAGGAUGAUCAGCCACACUGGAACUGAGACACGGUCCAGACUCCUACGGGAGGCAGCAGUGGGGAAUAUUGGACAAUGGGCGCAAGCCUGAUCCAGCCAUACCGAGUGGGUGAAGAAGGCCUUCGGGUUGUAAAGCCCUUUUGUUGGGAAAGAAAAGCAGCAGGUUAAUACCCCGCUGUUCUGACGGUACCCAAAGAAUAAGCACCGGCUAACUUCGUG